RNAcentral lists this ribosomal RNA (253 nucleotides) under uncultured bacterium. RNAcentral's name for it is "partial 16S ribosomal RNA". It matches the Rfam family "Bacterial small subunit ribosomal RNA", at positions 524 to 776 of the family's 1533-position model. The record is from RNAcentral.
UACGAAGGGGGCUAGCGUUACUCGGAAUCACUGGGCGUAAAGGGUGCGUAGGCGGGUCUUUAAGUCAGGGGUGAAAUCCUGGAGCUCAACUCCAGAACUGCCUUUGAUACUGAGGAUCUUGAGUUCGGGAGAGGUGAGUGGAACUGCGAGUGUAGAGGUGAAAUUCGUAGAUAUUCGCAAGAACACCAGUGGCGAAGGCGGCUCACUGGCCCGAUACUGACGCUGAUGCACGAAAGCGUGGGGAGCAAACAGG